GACGAACGCUGGCGGCGUGCCUAAUACAUGCAAGUCGAACGCAGUGGGGACGGGUGAGGAACACGUGGGUAACCUCCCCAUCAGAGGGGAUAACCCUUGGAAACAGGUGCUAAACCGAUACUGAUGGAGGGACCCGCGGUGCAUUCGCUAGUUGGUGCGGUAACGGCUCACCAAGGCCACGAUGCAUAUGCGACCUGAUAGAGGGGUCGGCCACACUGGGACUGAGACACGGCCCAGACUCCUACGGGAGUGAGCAGUAGGGAAUCUUCGGCAAUGGGCGAAAGUCUGACCGAGCAACGCCGCGUGAGUGAAGAAGGUUUUCGGAUCGUAAAACUCUGUUGUUAGAGAAGCGGUAUCUAACCAGAAAGCCACGGCUAACUACGUGCCAGCAGCCGCGGUAAUAC
This 404-nucleotide ribosomal RNA is filed under the name uncultured bacterium. Its description in RNAcentral is "partial 16S ribosomal RNA". It matches the Rfam family "Bacterial small subunit ribosomal RNA", at positions 28 to 526 of the family's 1533-position model. The record is from RNAcentral.